GACGUAGGGCGCGAGCGUUGUCCGGAUUUAUUGGGCGUAAAGAGCUCGUAGGCGGCUUGUCGCGUCGUCCGUGAAAACCUGUGGCUCAACUGCAGGCUUGCGGUCGAUACGGGCAGGCUGGAGUUCGGUAGGGGAGAUCGGAAUUCCUGGUGUAGCGGUGAAAUGCGCAGAUAUCAGGAGGAACACCGGUGGCGAAGGCGGAUCUCUGGGCCGAUACUGACGCUGAGGAGCGAAAGCGUGGGGAGCGAACAGG
This 253-nucleotide ribosomal RNA is filed under the name uncultured bacterium. Its description in RNAcentral is "partial 16S ribosomal RNA". It matches the Rfam family "Bacterial small subunit ribosomal RNA", at positions 524 to 776 of the family's 1533-position model. The record is from RNAcentral.